UACGUAGGGUGCGAGCGUUGUCCGGAAUUAUUGGGCGUAAAGAGCUCGUAGGCGGCUUGUCGCGUCGGAUGUGAAAGCCCGGGGCUUAACUCCGGGUCUGCAUUCGAUACGGGCAGGCUAGAGUUCGGUAGGGGAGAUCGGAAUUCCUGGUGUAGCGGUGAAAUGCGCAGAUAUCAGGAGGAACACCGGUGGCGAAGGCGGAUCUCUGGGCCGAUACUGACGCUGAGGAGCGAAAUCGUGGGGAGCGAACAGG
RNAcentral lists this ribosomal RNA (253 nucleotides) under uncultured bacterium. Its description in RNAcentral is "partial 16S ribosomal RNA". It matches the Rfam family "Bacterial small subunit ribosomal RNA", at positions 524 to 776 of the family's 1533-position model. The record is from RNAcentral.